UACGGAGGGUGCAAGCGUUAUCCGGAUUCACUGGGUUUAAAGGGUGUGUAGGCGGAUAUUUAAGUCAGUGGUGAAAUCUCCAGGCUCAACCUGGAAACUGCCAUUGAUACUAUUUAUCUUGAAUUCUGUUGAGGUGGGCGGAAUACAUCAUGUAGCGGUGAAAUGCUUAGAUAUGAUGUAGAACACCGAUUGCGAAGGCAGCUCACUAAACAGACAUUGACGCUGAGGCACGAAAGCGUGGGGAUCAAACAGG
This 253-nucleotide ribosomal RNA is filed under the name uncultured bacterium. RNAcentral describes it as "partial 16S ribosomal RNA". It matches the Rfam family "Bacterial small subunit ribosomal RNA", at positions 524 to 776 of the family's 1533-position model. The record is from RNAcentral.